This 550-nucleotide ribosomal RNA is filed under the name uncultured bacterium. RNAcentral describes it as "bacterial SSU rRNA". It matches the Rfam family "Bacterial small subunit ribosomal RNA", at positions 355 to 896 of the family's 1533-position model. The record is from RNAcentral.
UAGGGAAUCUUCGGCAAUGGACGGAAGUCUGACCGAGCAACGCCGCGUGAGUGAAGAAGGUUUUCGGAUCGUAAAGCCCUGUUGUAAGAGAAGAACGAGUGUGAGAGUGGAAAGUUCACACUGUGACGGUAUCUUACCAGAAAGGGACGGCUAACUACGUGCCAGCAGCCGCGGUAAUACGUAGGUCCCGAGCGUUGUCCGGAUUUAUUGGGCGUAAAGCGAGCGCAGGCGGUUAGAUAAGUCUGAAGUUAAAGGCUGUGGCUUAACCAUAGUACGCUUUGGAAACUGUUUAACUUGAGUGCAAGAGGGGAGAGUGGAAUUCCAUGUGUAGCGGUGAAAUGCGUAGAUAUAUGGAGGAACACCGGUGGCGAAAGCGGCUCUCUGGCUUGUAACUGACGCUGAGGCUCGAAAGCGUGGGGAGCAAACAGGAUUAGAUACCCUGGUAGUCCACGCCGUAAACGAUGAGUGCUAGGUGUUAGACCCUUUCCGGGGUUUAGUGCCGUAGCUAACGCAUUAAGCACUCCGCCUGGGGAGUACGACCGCAAGGUUG